CAGCCAGACUCCUACGGGAGGCAGCAGUGGGGAAUAUUGGGCAAUGGAGGAAACUCUUACCCAGCAAUGCCGCGUGAAUGAAGAAGGUCUUCGGAUUGUAAAGUUCUUUAAUUGGGGACGAAAAAAAUGACGGUACCCAAGGAAUAAGCUCCGGCUAACUACGUGCCAGCAGCCGCGGUAAUACGUAGGGAGCAAGCGUUGUUCGGAAUGACUGGGCGUAAAGGGUGCGUAGGCGGUUGUACAAGUUAGAAGUGAAAUACCCAGGGCUUAACUCGGGUGCUGCUUCUAAAACUGUAUGACUUGAGUGCAGUAGAGGUUAGUGGAAUUCCUAGUGUAGCGGUGGAAUGCGUAGAUAUUAGGAGGAACACCAGAGGCGAAGGCGGCUAACUGGACUGCAACUGACGCUGAGGCACGAAAGUGUGGGGAGCAAACAGGAUUAGAUACCCUUGUA
This 451-nucleotide ribosomal RNA is filed under the name uncultured bacterium. Its description in RNAcentral is "partial 16S ribosomal RNA". It matches the Rfam family "Bacterial small subunit ribosomal RNA", at positions 328 to 792 of the family's 1533-position model. The record is from RNAcentral.